GUUUGCCCUCAACCCUAGGUACAUUUAUAUAGCUAUCUUAUACUUAGAUUUUUAUUACGCUAUGUAUCUGCUUCAUGUGUUUGAGAUGGGGUGAAGUAUGCAUGUACACCACAGCUCCUGCAUGCAUGUACACCACAGCUCUUGCAUGCAUGUACACCACAGCUCCUGCAUGCAUGUACACCACAGCUCCUGCAUGCAUGUACACCACAGCUCCUGCAUGCAUAUACACCACAGCUCCUGUAUGCAUGUACACCACAGCUCCUGUAUUGUCAGAAGACACUUUUGAGGGUUGGUCCUCCUGGGGAUUGAACUCAGAUCACCAGGAAAGAUGACAACUGUCUGUCUCUACACCUUUAACCAUCUUGCCACAGAUGGCUUUUAAUCUCUUAAAAAUUAAAUCAAUUGGGGUUGGGGAUCUAGCUCAGUGGUAGAAGGCCCUGGAUUCGGUCCCCAGCUCUGGGAAAAAGAAAAAAGAAAAAAGAAAAAAGAAAAAAAAAUUA
Molecule: long non-coding RNA, 500 nt
Filed under: Rattus norvegicus (Norway rat)
Lineage: Eukaryota; Metazoa; Chordata; Mammalia; Rodentia; Muridae
Description: long non-coding RNA NONRATT028119
Source: RNAcentral